Molecule: long non-coding RNA, 314 nt
Filed under: Gossypium barbadense (sea-island cotton)
Lineage: Eukaryota; Viridiplantae; Streptophyta; Magnoliopsida; Malvales; Malvaceae
Description: long non-coding RNA (GBAR_LNC017005)
Source: RNAcentral
GGAAUUUUAGGGCAAAAGCAAGGGUUAUUCUGGUAUCUUGUCUGAAAGUACGAUGGGACCAGGCUAUGCCUGUGAAGAACCUACACUUCCAAAAGUCUUAAUACUACAACUAAAAGAGAUGACUGACAAGGGAAUCUCCAUUACUGUUGUAAUGUAGCCUUUUUUAUAUUUUGGAAAAUAGGAGAAAAUUUCCAAUAUUUUGCUGUUUAAAAACAAAGAGAUGGACAAGAUUUUUAGACCCUUUCUGAAGACGUUGUUCAGAAAGUUAAAAGACAAGAAUUUUCCAUACCAUCGUCUCCAUCAUCAAUACUUUU